UCUACCUAUUAAAGGCGUUUUCAUGUCAAGUUCGUAGCAAAAUCUCAACGAAGUAGCAAAGUUGACAUUUCAUUACUAUUAUUACUCUAUUCUAUUGUGUAUUUUCCGCUUUCAGCCUUUGCCUGUAGAAUUUAACAUAAGUUACUAUUUCUUUGUUGAGAUAAUUAAAAUAUAUUAGCAGUGUAUGUGUUGGAGUUCAAGAAGUUAUGUGGUUUCUCAAAAAAAAAAAAUUAAAAAAAAGAAAAGAUCUACUCUAUUUUAUUGUGUAUUUCUCUGAAUGUUUGUUCAAGUAUGAUGGACAUUCAGAUGCUCUUGUAGGACACCAGAUUCACUCGCUGCUUAACUGGGAUAUCUAUGUGUACACAUGAAUCUCCAUAGGUUAUUAAUUAACUGUCUAAUAUUUUGUGUAAGACAAAGAUAAAGAGUUAACAGUAUUAGAAUCUUUAUCUUCUAAAAGAAGAAGAGAGGGGUUAUAAAAUCAGAAUAUAUUGCCUUCCACUCGGGUACAGCUUAGUUAGGUGAAGACUAAUUGAAAAUUAUUUAGUUAGGUGGCUCAGUUAAAAGAAUGUCUACACACCUACUUCUUAUAUAUAUAUUAUCUACAAUCAAGUUUUUGACUUGUUUCACCAACUGCCUUCUAGACUACAAACCCUUUCUCUAUGCAAAUAUUUUGCAAGUGUUCUUUUGAAGAUAUCUUAUGAUCCUCUUGGACCUUGGUUGUUACAUAAAGAAUCAAGCUGCAAAGUACCUGCCAAUAUAAAGUCAUGAUAUACACCUAAGCAUAUAUCAAUGGUCCAUCUUACUAAAACAUAUAGAACAUUGUUCAUAGGUAGAUCUCUUCAUAUGGUUCUGAAGGCUAUUCUUCUUUCUCUAAUUUGUCUUCUUUGACUAUUAGUUCAUUUUUCGUCCACCAAAGACCUCUUAGACAGUUGAAGAAUAUUACAAGAUUAUAAUCCUCAAAACAAAGGUAAGUUCUACUAGACUACUUCAAUGAAUUUCAAUGUUCAAAAUAAAAAGAAGUUUAUUCAUGACUCAAAGCUUCUUACCGAAAAAUGAUUUUCAAUCCAAAAAUUCUCAAUCCUGUAUUAAGGAUUGAUCCUCUUAUCACACCUGGUGGUAUUGUUAUGAUGUGAAUGAUGACCUACUUAAAUGCUCGAAUACCUAAAAGUUAGAUAGAUGUUUUGCUAGUGACUUGGAUCGACGUAUUUUGACUCUAGUAUAUUACUGGCCUUCCUUAAUCAGAAAUAUGUCACAAGUGGAAGCCUCCUGUGCCAGGUAGCUUUAAACUGAAUACAGAUGGGGCUGUGAAAGAAAGCCCCGGACCAGGAGGCCUUGGAGGUGUUAUCAGAACCAUAGAGGUGACUCGAUCAUUGGCUUUUAUCAGCAAAGAAGCCCAUGUUAACUCAAUCCUGGCAAGGUUCGUGCGCUAAGACAAGGUUAUUAAUGGAGAAGCUGGGAGCAGCGAUGCCAACAGACAUAUUUCGGGAGCAGAAUAAAGUGUCAGACAAGCUUAGCCAGGAAGGUCUCUAGUGCAGUGCUUUCAGAGAUCCAACCUUUUUGAUAGUUCCUUCAAUGGUGGAAGAACACGAAAUUGAAGAAGGAGAAAUUUAUGAUGAUUCUCACAUUAAUUUAUUGAAAAUUCAAAAGGAAGAAAACGAAGUUGAAGGAGAAAUAUAUGACGAUUCUCAUAUAGACUUUGAUGCUAAGAUUCAAACUGUUUAGUGCAAUUAUAUGAAAGAAUUUGAAGGAGCUGUUUCUGCUGAGAAUUUGGGGCAAAAAGCUGGUGUUAAUGGUUCGUUUUGGCGAGUGAUCAACUUGUAACUCAACCACAAAUAUCUCAAAAACUCCCUACCCCUCUUUCUUCUCACAAACCCAUUAGGAUUAGGAUUAAGUUUCGGUCUUCUGAUAAUACUGCUGCUCCGAAGAGUCUGAGAAGACACACUGCCCAGAGCUGACUUCUGGGGAUAAGCCACAAGUUGUUCCUUUCAUUAUACAAGGAGAUUCGAUUUGCUGUUGUACAUGUCGGAAGUGGAGGCUUCUGCAUAUGGUAUAAAACCCCAUCAAUUGACUCAGAGUUGGGCUCUGUACUAUGUUAGACUGGCUUCCUGGCAUGAAUUGUUGUAACAUUAGUGAGGACCAUACAACAAAAGCUCUACAUUUCCUGUACCAAAGUCUCAUUCAAAGUAACUUCCAAAAUCGUGGUGCUAAGGGUUCGGUUGAUGUAAAAGCAUAUAACGGAAGGGAAGUUUCAGUAAAGAAAAGAAAAUCGAGGAAACAAGACUAUAUAGGUAAUCAAUUGGGUGAAAGUGAUGCCAAUGCUUUUGAGAGGAAAUUCAGAAAACAGAAGAAGUCUAAGGCGAUUCAGACCGAAGAAAAAAAAUCCAGUAGAAGCAAGGGUGAAGGGAAAUCAAGAAGGAGAGAUACAGGAUUCAAAGAUUCUGCUCAUAUAUAGAGAGAACACAAGACAAACAAGUAUAGAGUAAGCAUCAGUCUCAAGCAGAAUCUGGCAUGAUCCGCAAACCAGUUUACAAGGCCAUUGGAUAUGGGAAGGUUGCAAGGCCCUACAUUGCAAUUUAGUAGAGGAAUUACUGUAUUAGCUGUCAUUGGUUCUUUUUUCUUGUUUUCUGUUAAAUUUGUUUAUAUGUUGAAAGUAUAUGAAAAAUAAGCAACUGAUUCUGCUUCACAAA
Solanum lycopersicum (tomato) is the source of this 2687-nucleotide RNA transcript. RefSeq lists it as uncharacterized. The record is from RefSeq and is a predicted model, not a curated record. NCBI's taxonomy places the organism in Eukaryota, Viridiplantae, Streptophyta, Magnoliopsida, Solanales, Solanaceae.